GUAGGGUGCGAGCGUUAAUCGGGAAUUACUGGGGCGUAAAGCGUGCGCAGGCGGCUUUGCAAGACAGAGGUGAAAUCCCCGGGGCUCAACCUGGGAACUGCCUUUGUGACUGCAAGGCUAGAGUACGGCAGAGGGGGAUGGAAUUCCGCGUGUAGCAGUGAAAUGCGUAGAUAUGCGGAGGAACACCGAUGGCGAAGGCAAUCCCCUGGGCCUGUACUGACGCUCAUGCACGAAAGCGUGGGGAGCAAACAGGAUUAGAUACCCUGGUAGUCCACGCCCUAAACGAUGUCAACUGGUUGUUGGACGGCUUGCUGUUCAGUAACGAAGCUAACGCGUGAAGUUGACCGCCUGGGGAGUACGGCCGCAAGGUUG
This 372-nucleotide ribosomal RNA is filed under the name uncultured organism. RNAcentral's name for it is "partial 16S ribosomal RNA". It matches the Rfam family "Bacterial small subunit ribosomal RNA", at positions 527 to 896 of the family's 1533-position model. The record is from RNAcentral.